AAAAAGUUUUAUUCUUGCUUAUUUAUUUACUUUGAGGAAGUGUUAUAUGCAAAUUAUUAUAUAUUUAUUUAUUCUGAAUGAUGAAUAUAUUAUAUAGCAGUAAUUAAUAUUAAUAAUUUAAGUAAUUUUGAGUUAGUUAUUCUCAUUAAAUAUAGAUUAAAUAUGUGCCAGCAGUCGCGGUUAUACAUAGUAUAUUAGUAAAUAUUUUUAGUUUUUGGUUAUUAUGAAUUAUUAAUUUAUUAGGAUUAUUUUUAGGUGAAAUUUAAUUUUUCUUUUUUUGAUUAAGUUAUAUAUAUAAGAAGCUAUGAAAUCUGUAUAUAAAGACUAGGAUUAGAUACCCUAUUAUUUUAGAUUUAAACUUUGAAAACUUGAGUAGUAUUAGUUAUGAUCUUGAAACUUAAAGAAUUUGGCGGUAUUUUAGUCUAUUUAGAGGAAUCUGUCCCGUUAUCGAUAAUCCACGUUGGACCUUACUUAGUUUUAUUAUUUGUAUACCGCCGUUUAUUUGAAUAUCUUAUAAGGGAAAUUUUCUUAAUAUUUAAUUUUGUAGUAUUUCAGGUCAAGGUGCAGUUAAUAAUUAAGUGGAGAUGGAUUACAAUAUAUUUAGAGAUGAAUUAUGAAUUGUAACAUUUGUAUGAAGGUGGAUUUAAUAGUAAUGUUAAGAAUAAUAAUUAAUAUGAUUAUAGCUCUAAAAUGUGCACACAUCGCCCGUCACUCUCGCUAUUAAGGUGAGAUAAGUCGUAACAGAGUAGGUGUACCGGAAGGUGUAGCUAGAUUGAU
RNAcentral lists this ribosomal RNA (777 nucleotides) under Rhabdoblatta atra. RNAcentral describes it as "12S ribosomal RNA". The record is from RNAcentral. Lineage: Eukaryota; Metazoa; Arthropoda; Insecta; Blattodea; Blaberidae.